GAUGAACGCUGGCGGCGUGCCUAAUACAUGCAAGUCGAGCGAACAGACAAGGAGCUUGCUCCUUUGACGUUAGCGGCGGACGGGUGAGUAACACGUGGGUAACCUACCUAUAAGACUGGGAUAACUUCGGGAAACCGGAGCUAAUACCGGAUAAUAUUUCGAACCGCAUGGUUCGAUAGUGAAAGAUGGUUUUGCUAUCACUUAUAGAUGGACCCGCGCCGUAUUAGCUAGUUGGUAAGGUAACGGCUUACCAAGGCGACGAUACGUAGCCGACCUGAGAGGGUGAUCGGCCACACUGGAACUGAGACACGGUCCAGACUCCUACGGGAGGCAGCAGUAGGGAAUCUUCCGCAAUGGGCGAAAGCCUGACGGAGCAACGCCGCGUGAGUGAUGAAGGUCUUCGGAUCGUAAAACUCUGUUAUUAGGGAAGAACAUACGUGUAAGUAACUAUGCACGUCUUGACGGUACCUAAUCAGAAAGCCACGGCUAACUACGUGCCAGCAGCCGCGGUAAUACGUAGGUGGCAAGCGUUAUCCGGAAUUAUUGGGCGUAAAGCGCGCGUAGGCGGUUUUUUAAGUCUGAUGUGAAAGCCCACGGCUCAACCGUGGAGGGUCAUUGGAAACUGGAAAACUUGAGUGCAGAAGAGGAAAGUGGAAUUCCAUGUGUAGCGGUGAAAUGCGCAGAGAU
Molecule: ribosomal RNA, 687 nt
Filed under: Staphylococcus haemolyticus
Lineage: Bacteria; Bacillati; Bacillota; Bacilli; Caryophanales; Staphylococcaceae
Description: bacterial SSU rRNA
Rfam family: Bacterial small subunit ribosomal RNA
Source: RNAcentral